RNAcentral lists this ribosomal RNA (639 nucleotides) under uncultured bacterium. RNAcentral describes it as "bacterial SSU rRNA". The stretch from base 1 to 543 matches the Rfam family "Bacterial small subunit ribosomal RNA", at positions 338 to 873 of the family's 1533-position model. The record is from RNAcentral.
CCUACGGGAGGCAGCAGUGGGGAAUUUUGGACAAUGGGCGCAAGCCUGAUCCAGCCAUUCCGCGUGAGUGAAGAAGGCCUUCGGGUUGUAAAGCUCUUUCGCGAGGGAAGAAAACUUACCAUCGAAUAAAUGGUGAGGCUGACGGUACCUUGAUAAGAAGCACCGGCUAACUACGUGCCAGCAGCCGCGGUAAUACGUAGGGUGCGAGCGUUAAUCGGAAUUACUGGGCGUAAAGCGUGCGCAGGCGGUUUUGUAAGUCAGAUGUGAAAUCCCCGAGCUCAACUUGGGAACUGCGUUUGAAACUACAAGACUAGAAUAUGUCAGAGGGGGGUAGAAUUCCACGUGUAGCAGUGAAAUGCGUAGAGAUGUGGAGGAAUACCAAUGGCGAAGGCAGCCCCCUGGGAUAAUAUUGACGCUCAUGCACGAAAGCGUGGGGAGCAAACAGGAUUAGAUACCCUGGUAGUCCACGCCCUAAACGAUGUCUACUAGUUGUUGGUGGAGUAAAAUCCAUGAGUAACCGNAGCGACGCGUGAGUAGACCGCCGNGGGAGGUAACGGUCGCGAGAAGUUAAACGUUAAAGUUAAGUAAGUUAGUUACGGCGUGGAGACGUUAGCCGACGGACGACGACGAGGGAGGAGG